This is a long non-coding RNA of Myotis brandtii (Brandt's bat), 1182 nucleotides long. RefSeq lists it as uncharacterized. The transcript is spliced from 2 exons. NCBI's taxonomy places the organism in Eukaryota, Metazoa, Chordata, Mammalia, Chiroptera, Vespertilionidae. The record is from RefSeq and is a predicted model, not a curated record.
CGGAAUUGAACCUGGGACCCUUCAGUCCCUAGGCCAACGCUCUAUCCACUGAGCCAAACCAGCCAGGGCCAAACUGGUGUUUCUCCCUUUAUCUAAAAUCAAUCUUUUUUUUUUUUUUUAAGAAGGAGAAAAAUCUACCCUUUCCAGAGAGAGCCUUGGCUAGUUUGAUGGUAAUUAUCUUCUGCCUUGAGGAGUACAGAAUGUUUCUGGAGAGGAGGCAAUGUUGAAGACACAGUUGUCCAGCAGGAGAAUUUCAGGCCUGAAAAGUUCCCUAAACUGAGACCUUCAUUCUCACCUCUUCCUGGUAGUGAUGAUUCAGGAGGCACUUGCUAUUCUCCAGACAUGGAGCCUGGACCUGUCUCCCUUGGCACCAGCCUAAGGGAGGCUGGACAAAGCACAGAGGCUCAUUCUGGCCCUGGGUGCAUCCUUCUGCCCACCUUCUAUCUCUGCCUGUGGUUGAUAUUCAUGUCCUAUUCCCAGAACCUGUUAGUAUCUUAGCUUAUAUGCCAAAAGGGACUUUGAAGAUAUGGUUGAAGAUCUUGAGGUGGGGAGAUGAUUCUGGAUUGUCUCAGUGGACCCCAUAUAACUACAAAGACAUGUAAUCAGAAUGUAAUUCUCAUAAGAGGAAACAGGAGAAUUAGAGAAGGAUGGAAGCAGAGGUCCGAGGAGUGAAGAUGCUAUGCUGCUGGCUUGAUGAUGGAGGAAGGGGCCAUGAACCAAGGAAUGCAAGCCGCCUCUAGAACCUGGAAAAGGCCAAGAAGCAGAUUCUCCCCUAGAGACUCCAGAAGGUAUGCAAGCUUGGCAACAUUUUGACUUUUAAUUUAGCCCAAUGAAACUGAUUUCAGAGCUGUGGCCUCCAGAACUGUAAGCUAAUGCAUUUGUGUUAUUUUAAGCAAUUAAGUUUAUGGUAAUUCAUUACAGCAGCAAUAGGAAACUAGUAUGCUGGGCAGUACUAAUCUGUUCUCCUAGGAAAGUAAGGUUUGUGAGAGUGGGAAGUGGAGAGGUAGAUUUCCUAGAAGCCCCUGCAAUCAAACUGAACUAGGUUCAUAUUACCAUUCAUUUAUUACUUAUAUUACUACCUGAGCAAAUGUCUAAGCAACAAUACAUUGAUAAUAAUGCAUUGCUUAUAGGAUUGCUAAGAAUUAAAUGUUUCAAAUUACCUAAUUACCCACUUAAAAAAAA